CAGUAGCCGCGGGAAUACCAGCAGCCCAAGUGGUGGUCGCGUUUAUUGGGCCUAAAGCGCUCGUAGCCUGGCCGGUAAGUUCCCCGUGAAAUCGGGUCGCCCAACGAUUCGGCUUGCGGGGAAUACUGUCGGUCUUGGGGCCGGGAGACGCCGAGGGUACUCCGGGGGUAGCGGUGAAAUGCCGUAAUCCUCGGGGGACUACCAGUGGCGAAGGCGCUCGGCGAUAACGGGCCUGACGGUGAGGGGCGAAAGCUGGGGGCGCGAACGGGAUUAGAUACCCCCGUAGUCCCUGUCUCUUAUA
Molecule: ribosomal RNA, 301 nt
Filed under: uncultured bacterium
Lineage: Bacteria
Description: partial 16S ribosomal RNA
Rfam family: Archaeal small subunit ribosomal RNA
Source: RNAcentral